Molecule: long non-coding RNA, 1728 nt
Organism: Perca fluviatilis (European perch)
Lineage: Eukaryota; Metazoa; Chordata; Actinopteri; Perciformes; Percidae
Exons: 10
Source: RefSeq, a predicted model, not a curated record
UGCAGCCUGGAGCGUCCCAUGUCAUGCGGUCCCGUCACAUGCGGUCCCGUCUCAUGCCGAGGCUUUCCAACGGUACACAUCAGUGUCUUUAAAAGAAAUAGCACACCCCCGGUGACACGAUGCACGGUGUGCUGUACCGACCAUCAUUGCCCCCUUUGCCCCAUUUCCAUAUACAAGCCCCGGUGUAGGGCAAAGGUUUUGCAGCACAUGGAGGUGCAUGUAAAGAAUGCCAUUCAACAUGAAGAUUUCUUCAUAACAAAAUGCCACCAGGCUUGCAGGAGUGGAAGCAGUGGUCACUUCCACUGCCCUUUCUGCCUCAAGACCACAAUAAAAAGGCAGGCUAUACAGAGGCAUUUGCCGAUCUGUAGGCCACCUCUCCAUGAUGCCCAGUUGAAUGCUGAUGCAGACUGCAGAGAGAUGGGCAUCAAUUCCCAGACAGAGGAGUGCAAAGCAGGAUCUGUGAACCUACCUCAUCUCGGCACUGACAAACUGCCUGUAUCAGUACAGUAUAGUGAAAUACAAGGACAAAGAGACCCAGCAGAGAGACCCCAAGACCCACUGCCAGAAUCCUUCUUGCCGUUCCUUCUUGCUAACCUGGCCAACCCUCCCUGCAGAGUGCGCUGUGCAAAUUUGCCAAAUGUAACCGGAAGAAUCCUUUUACUGUCCAUCCCAGCUAUCAUUUUUGGGCACCUUGGAUUGGGCAAGGCACACGAAGGUCCAACACUGUGCUAAACACAGAGUUUUUAAAAGCUCAAGGUCCAAGAAACUCAGCAGAGGCAGAUGACAUCAAUAUUACUGAAGACAGACUCUCAAAUGAAUUGAUGAAUUUGAAGGUGGAUGCAGUACGUACACUCUGUAAGGAAUGUGGUGUCGACUCUUGUGGUUCUAAGAUCUAAUUCUGCGCCUCAGAACCGAAAUGCAAAAUAGACAGGCCUACGACCAAGUGUUUCAGAAGAUCUGGGGAGCAUCAGGUGGUUUGGCUGCCAUCAUGUGUCCCUGCGGUGUUUUGUACAGCUUGAAGUUUAACAUCAGAGCAGAAGGCCCUAGAGACUUUGCAGAUAUGCUUCUGUCGUGGAAACAUAUGCCCAAUAUAUCAGUCUAUGACUUUGCACGAGGUCUUGUAAACCACACCAAUGUGAGAGUGCCAGAAAAUCCACCAUUCCAGCCAAAUGAAGGCCGUCUUGCUCCUCCAACCCCUGAGAACAUACAGGCUGCCAAGGACCGAACACUGAAGAUCCACCUUCCGUGGCUUUUGGAGCCAAACACUGAAAACUUUAAAGAUGUUAGUCAUCCGGUUACUAAAUCCUCUCAACAUUAUGUCUUGUGUGACAAGCUACAUGAAGGUAUGCAAGGAUGAGAAGGACAUGCUCAGGAGAAUUGAACUUGUACCGGAGCUUGCAGGUCAGCUCAACAGCCAAGUGGCUGAACAGUUCUUCGCAAAUAUGCGGAAGAACAAUUAUUUCAUUAACAAUAUGUCGCCUUCAGCUCACAUUUUUCUGGUGCGAAACAUUGUUCAUCACCACAAUGAAAAAAAAAGAGAGACAAACCAUUGAGAAGAUGAAAAGAAAUGUGAGGAAUGUCAGUAUCACACUGGACACACUUGGGAAGGCAGUGGCAGCUCCACAGACUUUAUUGGGCACUCAGACUUCAUUGGAACCCACAAGAAAUCUUGAUGGACCAACUCCUGAAAGGGAAACUUCCCUGUGUGACAUACAGCCACAGCAGCCC